This 398-nucleotide ribosomal RNA is filed under the name uncultured bacterium. RNAcentral describes it as "partial 16S ribosomal RNA". It matches the Rfam family "Bacterial small subunit ribosomal RNA", at positions 523 to 918 of the family's 1533-position model. The record is from RNAcentral.
AUACGUAGGGUGCGAGCGUUGUCCGGAAUUACUGGGCGUAAAGAGCUCGUAGGUGGUUUGUCGCGUCGUCUGUGAAAUUCCGGGGCUUAACUCCGGGCGUGCAGGCGAUACGGGCAUAACUUGAGUACUGUAGGGGAGACUGGAAUUCCUGGUGUAGCGGUGAAAUGCGCAGAUAUCAGGAGGAACACCGGUGGCGAAGGCGGGUCUCUGGGCAGUAACUGACGCUGAGGAGCGAAAGCAUGGGUAGCGAACAGGAUUAGUUUCCCUGGUAUUCCAUGCCGUAAACGGUGGGCGCUAGGUGUAGGGGUCUUCCACGACUUCUGUGCCGUAGCUAACGCAUUAAGCGCCCCGCCUGGGGAGUACGGCCGCAAGGCUAAAACUCAAAGGAAUUGACGGGG